RNAcentral lists this ribosomal RNA (395 nucleotides) under uncultured bacterium. Its description in RNAcentral is "bacterial SSU rRNA". It matches the Rfam family "Bacterial small subunit ribosomal RNA", at positions 30 to 426 of the family's 1533-position model. The record is from RNAcentral.
AUUGAACGCUGGCGGCAUGCUUUACACAUGCAAGUCGAACGGCAGCACGGGCUUCGGCCUGGUGGCGAGUGGCGAACGGGUGAGUAAUGCAUCGGAACGUGCCCAUUUGUGGGGGAUAACUACGCGAAAGCGUGGCUAAUACCGCAUACGCCCUGAGGGGGAAAGCGGGGGAUUCUUCGGAACCUCGCGCAAUUGGAGCGGCCGAUGUCAGAUUAGCUUGUUGGUGAGGUAAAGGCUCACUAAGGCGACGAUCUGUAGCGGGUCUGAGAGGAUGAUCCGCCACACUGGGACUGAGACACGGCCCAGACUCCUACGGGAGGCAGCAGUGGGGAAUUUUGGACAAUGGGGGCAACCCUGAUCCAGCCAUGCCGCGUGAGUGAAGAAGGCCUGGUUGU